CCACAGGCCAUGUCCUGAAGCGGAGAGUUCCCCUCGGGGACAUUGGAUACAGGUGGGGCAUGGUGGUGUUCAGCUCGUGUCGGUGGAUGUUGGGUUAAGUCCCGCAACGAGCGCAACCCUUGUCUUUAGUUGCCAUCAUUAAGUUGGGCACUCUAGGGAGACUGCCAGGGAUAACCUGGAGGAAGGUGGGGAUGACGUCAAAUCAUCAUGCCCCGUAUGCUUAGGGCUACACACGUGCUACAAUGGGUAGUACAGAGGGUUGCCAAGCCGUAAGGCGGAGCUAAUCCCUUAAAGCUACUCUCAGUUCGGAUUGUAGGCUGAAACUCGCCUACAUGAAGCUGGAGUUACUAGUAAUCGCAGAUCAGAAUGCUGCGGUGAAUGCGUUCCCGGGUCUUGUACACAC
This 403-nucleotide ribosomal RNA is filed under the name Clostridioides difficile. Its description in RNAcentral is "bacterial SSU rRNA". It matches the Rfam family "Bacterial small subunit ribosomal RNA", at positions 989 to 1390 of the family's 1533-position model. Lineage: Bacteria; Bacillati; Bacillota; Clostridia; Peptostreptococcales; Peptostreptococcaceae. The record is from RNAcentral.